UUUUUUGCUAUGGUUGACUAAAUAUGGUCAGGGAAGAGAGAGGCACAAGAGAGCCUGUUUGCCUGGGAGUGCAUGUUUCAAAUGCUUAGCUGCCUAUAAAGCUGUAACAGUUUAGCCUGUGGCCACUGAGGGAAGAAUAUAAGUUAAGCUCUGUAGUGACCAUGUGGAAGUCCUGACCUUGCUUGCAGACUUGACCUCUGGAUAUGACAAGGUAAGGUUCUGUGAUCAUGAUACUUCCCCCUCACUUCCCCCGGCUCAUGAAAAGAAGUGCUGAAUCAGCGAACAGAGUGAAGAAACAAUCAAGAUGAGAUGGCUGCUGCUGAUGUGACUCUCUGGGUCACUCUCUCUCUCCCUGCUGCAAAUGCUGCAUGACACUAAGCUUACAGGUUUCAGAAGCAAAUUACAAAAUAUGAAGAAAUUUGCUCUGACGACUAUCAAGAUACACUACACCGGUCUUACCAAUUUCUGAAACACACUGCAAAACUCCACCGAUUCUACGAAUCUCUUGCAAAAAGAACCAAACCAGGACAAAGUUCAACAGAUAACUGGUCACUGUUUAGAAGUAUAUGUCCACCAAGAACAAGGAACCAUAAAUGGCACUAAUAAUGUCAUGCUUCAGGUUUUACCUGAAGACUGGGAUGACAGCCAAAAUCCAAUAAAGUCUUCACAACUUGAAGAUGGCCUUUAUUGACAGCAAUAUGAAGCGGUGUCUGUCGGCGCUUGUUGCGAGCAUUCAAGUCAGCGCUGCCUCGGUGUAGGACCUCUAUCACAGCCCCUUCAUCUCCAAAGGCUGCGUGAUGAACGGCUCUAUCUCCAUCUUUAUCCUAAACAUCAGCAUUUAAACCUGACUUAGUGAAUAUUUUAGAAAGAAAAAUAAACUUGAAGCUAUAAUUCACCAAGAAUCAGAGUAAUGUGAGAAAAGGAAACAAAAUGGAACCAAGAAAAUAAUUAGAAAUUCACUUGAAUAGCAAUUAACUCCAAAGAUAAAUGAUGAACCUGGAUCAAUAUAUCACAUCACACCUAUAUUGGACCAAUAGUUUUAUCAGAAGUAGUUCAAUUCCUCAUUACUCCUACUUUAUCAGCCAUGACAGUAAGUUAACGUUAGGAAAAUGUUAAAUUAUGAUACAACUGUAUAAACUUUUUUCCAUUUAAAAAAAUUUCACGAAGAAUUUUUACAUUAUAUACCCUUUUUUAUAUUCUUCCAUACUCCAUUUCCAAUUUUAACAUCCAGAAGUAAGCCUGCUCUAAGAUUCUCUCCAGAGCCGUGGUUCUGAACCCACGGUCCCAGGCCCUGGUGGACUCUAGUUCUUGCAAGUGGUCUGAAAAUCCACAUGGUACUUGGAAUUAUUUGAAUUACUUUUCAAAGAUAACACAGAUAACCACUGCUGUGAUUAAAUACAUUUAAUGUGUUUAAAUACAUUAAAACAAACAGUUGCUGAUUUCAAAAUA
Equus caballus (horse) is the source of this 1449-nucleotide long non-coding RNA. RefSeq lists it as uncharacterized. The record is from RefSeq and is a predicted model, not a curated record. NCBI's taxonomy places the organism in Eukaryota, Metazoa, Chordata, Mammalia, Perissodactyla, Equidae.